RNAcentral lists this ribosomal RNA (406 nucleotides) under uncultured bacterium. Its description in RNAcentral is "partial 16S ribosomal RNA". It matches the Rfam family "Bacterial small subunit ribosomal RNA", at positions 30 to 526 of the family's 1533-position model. The record is from RNAcentral.
AUUGAACGCUGGCGGCAGGCCUAACACAUGCAAGUCGAGCGAGCGGCGGACGGGUGAGUAAUGUAUGGGGACCUGCCCGACAGAGGGAGUUAACUAGUGGAAACGGUGGCUAAUACCGCAUACUAUCGGCUCAACUCUUAUGGGAUUAGCUAGUCGGUGGGGGAAAGGCACACCUAGGCGACGUUGCAUAGCUGGUCUGAGAGGAUGACCAGCCACACUGGGACUGAGCCACGGCCCAGACGCCUACGGGAGGCAGCAGUUGGGAAUAUUCCACAAUGGGCGCAAGCCUGACCCAGCCAUGCCGCGUGUGUGAAGAAGGCCUUAGGGUUGUAAAGUACUUUCGGCGGGGAGGCGUUACCCGCAGAAGAAGCACCGGCUAACUCCGUGCCAGCAGCCGCGGUAAUAC